RNAcentral lists this non-coding RNA (2294 nucleotides) under Pluralibacter gergoviae. RNAcentral describes it as "Enterobacter gergoviae Bacterial large subunit ribosomal RNA". It matches the Rfam family "Bacterial large subunit ribosomal RNA", at positions 657 to 2925 of the family's 2925-position model. The record is from Rfam by way of RNAcentral. Lineage: Bacteria; Pseudomonadati; Pseudomonadota; Gammaproteobacteria; Enterobacterales; Enterobacteriaceae.
AUAGGGGAGCCGAAGGGAAACCGAGUCUUAACUGGGCGUUAAGUUGCAGGGUAUAGACCCGAAACCCGGUGAUCUAGCCAUGGGCAGGUUGAAGGUUGGGUAACACUAACUGGAGGACCGAACCGACUAAUGUUGAAAAAUUAGCGGAUGACCUGUGGCUGGGGGUGAAAGGCCAAUCAAACCGGGAGAUAGCUGGUUCUCCCCGAAAGCUAUUUAGGUAGCGCCUCGUGAACUCAUCUUCGGGGGUAGAGCACUGUUUCGGCUAGGGGGUCAUCCCGACUUACCAACCCGAUGCAAACUGCGAAUACCGAAGAAUGUUAUCACGGGAGACACACGGCGGGUGCUAACGUCCGUCGUGAAGAGGGAAACAACCCAGACCGCCAGCUAAGGUCCCAAAGUCAUGGUUAAGUGGGAAACGAUGUGGGAAGGCCCAGACAGCCAGGAUGUUGGCUUAGAAGCAGCCAUCAUUUAAAGAAAGCGUAAUAGCUCACUGGUCGAGUCGGCCUGCGCGGAAGAUGUAACGGGGCUAAACCAUGCACCGAAGCUGCGGCAGCGACGCUUAUGCGUUGUUGGGUAGGGGAGCGUUCUGUAAGCCGUUGAAGGUGUGCUGUGAGGCAUGCUGGAGGUAUCAGAAGUGCGAAUGCUGACAUAAGUAACGAUAAAGCGGGUGAAAAGCCCGCUCGCCGGAAGACCAAGGGUUCCUGUCCAACGUUAAUCGGGGCAGGGUGAGUCGACCCCUAAGGCGAGGCCGAAAGGCGUAGUCGAUGGGAAACAGGUUAAUAUUCCUGUACUUGGUGUUACUGCGAAGGGGGGACGGAGAAGGCUAUGUUAGCCGGGCGACGGUUGUCCCGGUUUAAGCAUGUAGGCGGAGGUUCCAGGUAAAUCCGGUACCUUUUAACGCUGAGGUGUGAUGACGAGGCACUACGGUGCUGAAGUAACAAAUGCCCUGCUUCCAGGAAAAGCCUCUAAGCUCCAGGUAACACGAAAUCGUACCCCAAACCGACACAGGUGGUCAGGUAGAGAAUACCAAGGCGCUUGAGAGAACUCGGGUGAAGGAACUAGGCAAAAUGGUGCCGUAACUUCGGGAGAAGGCACGCUGACAUGUAGGUGAAGCCCCUGCGGGUGGAGCUGAAGUCAGUCGAAGAUACCAGCUGGCUGCAACUGUUUAUUAAAAACACAGCACUGUGCAAACACGAAAGUGGACGUAUACGGUGUGACGCCUGCCCGGUGCCGGAAGGUUAAUUGAUGGGGUUAUCCUUAGGGAGAAGCUCUUGAUCGAAGCCCCGGUAAACGGCGGCCGUAACUAUAACGGUCCUAAGGUAGCGAAAUUCCUUGUCGGGUAAGUUCCGACCUGCACGAAUGGCGUAAUGAUGGCCAGGCUGUCUCCACCCGAGACUCAGUGAAAUUGAACUCGCUGUGAAGAUGCAGUGUACCCGCGGCAAGACGGAAAGACCCCGUGAACCUUUACUAUAGCUUGACACUGAACAUUGAGCCUUGAUGUGUAGGAUAGGUGGGAGGCUUUGAAGCGUGGACGCCAGUCUGCGUGGAGCCAACCUUGAAAUACCACCCUUUAAUGUUUGAUGUUCUAACCUGGUACCGUAAUCCGGUAUGGGGACAGUGUCUGGUGGGUAGUUUGACUGGGGCGGUCUCCUCCUAAAGAGUAACGGAGGAGCACGAAGGUUGGCUAAUCCUGGUCGGACAUCAGGAGGUUAGUGCAAUGGCAUAAGCCAGCUUGACUGCGAGCGUGACGGCGCGAGCAGGUGCGAAAGCAGGUCAUAGUGAUCCGGUGGUUCUGAAUGGAAGGGCCAUCGCUCAACGGAUAAAAGGUACUCCGGGGAUAACAGGCUGAUACCGCCCAAGAGUUCAUAUCGACGGCGGUGUUUGGCACCUCGAUGUCGGCUCAUCACAUCCUGGGGCUGAAGUAGGUCCCAAGGGUAUGGCUGUUCGCCAUUUAAAGUGGUACGCGAGCUGGGUUUAGAACGUCGUGAGACAGUUCGGUCCCUAUCUGCCGUGGGCGCUGGAGAAUUGAGGGGGGCUGCUCCUAGUACGAGAGGACCGGAGUGGACGCAUCACUGGUGUUCGGGUUGUCAUGCCAAUGGCAUUGCCCGGUAGCUACAUGCGGAAGAGAUAAGUGCUGAAAGCAUCUAAGCACGAAACUUGCCCCGAGAUGAGUUCUCCCUGAGACUUAGAGUCUCCUGAAGGAACGUUGAAGACGACGACGUUGAUAGGCCGGGUGUGUAAGCGCAGCGAUGCGUUGAGCUAACCGGUACUAAUGAACCGUGAGGCUUAACCUU